Molecule: RNase MRP RNA, 262 nt
Filed under: Cebus imitator (Panamanian white-faced capuchin)
Lineage: Eukaryota; Metazoa; Chordata; Mammalia; Primates; Cebidae
Description: RNase MRP (ENSCCAG00000012502.1)
Rfam family: RNase MRP
About the family: RNase MRP is an enzymatically active ribonucleoprotein with two distinct roles in eukaryotes. In mitochondria it plays a direct role in the initiation of mitochondrial DNA replication.
Source: Rfam by way of RNAcentral
CGGCGUGCUGAAGGCCUGUAUCCUAGGCUACACACUGGGGACUUGUUCCUCUGAUCCCUGCCUAGGGGAAAGUCCCCGGACCUCGGGCAGAGAGUGCCGCGUGCCAAGGCACGUAGAUAUUCCCCGCUUCCCACUGCAAAACCCGCCAAGAAGCACGUCUCGCUGAGCGGCGUGGUGCGGGGCGUCGUCCGUCAGUUAACUCUAGUUACGCAGGCAGUGCGUUUCGGCGCACCAACCACACGGGGCUCAUUCUCAGCGCGGC